RNAcentral lists this ribosomal RNA (253 nucleotides) under uncultured bacterium. RNAcentral's name for it is "partial 16S ribosomal RNA". It matches the Rfam family "Bacterial small subunit ribosomal RNA", at positions 524 to 776 of the family's 1533-position model. The record is from RNAcentral.
UACGGAGGGGGCUAGCGUUAUUCGGAAUUAUUGGGCGUAAAGGGCGUGUAGGCGGCCGCGUAUGUCCCAUGUGAAAGCCCUCGGCUCAACCGGGGAACUGCAUGGGAAACGGCACGGCUUGAGUCCGGAAGAGGCGAGUGGAAUUCCUGGUGUAGCGGUGAAAUGCGCAGAUAUCAGGAGGAACACCUAUUGCGAAGGCAGCUCGCUGGGACGUAACUGACGCUGAGACGCGAAAGCGUGGGGAGCAAACAGG